GCCGGACGCGGUGGCUCACGUCUGUAAUCCCAGCACUUUGGGAGGCCGAGGCAGGCGGAUCACCUGAGGUCGGGAGUUCAGAACCAGCCCGGCCAACAUGGUGAAACCCUGUCUCUA
This 117-nucleotide non-coding RNA is filed under the name Gorilla gorilla gorilla (western lowland gorilla). The record is from Rfam by way of RNAcentral. Lineage: Eukaryota; Metazoa; Chordata; Mammalia; Primates; Hominidae.